CCUACGGGAGGCAGCAGUGAGGAAUAUUGGUCAAUGGGCGCGAGCCUGAACCCGCCAAGUCGCGUGAGGGAAGACGGUCCUAUGGAUUGUAAACCUCUUUUGUCGGGGAGCAAAAGACGCCACGUGUGGCUUUCCGCGAGUACCCGCACAACACGCAUCGGCAAACUCCGUGCCAGAAGCCGCGGUAAUACGGGGGAGACGAGGGUUAUCGGGAUUUAUUGGGUUUAAAGGGUGCGCAGGCGGAAGAUCAAGUCAGCGGUAAAAUUGAGGGGCUAAACCUGUUCGAGCGGUUGAUACUGGCUGGCUUGAGAUGUCGAGAGGUAGGCGGAAUGCGAGGUGUAGCGGUGAAAUGCUUAGAUAUUGGGAAGAACUCCGAUUGCGAAGGCAGCAUACCGGCGGCGAUCUGACGCUGAGGCACGAAAGCGUGGGUAUCGAACAGGAUUAGAUACCCGGGUAGUC
This 459-nucleotide ribosomal RNA is filed under the name uncultured bacterium. RNAcentral's name for it is "partial 16S ribosomal RNA". It matches the Rfam family "Bacterial small subunit ribosomal RNA", at positions 338 to 795 of the family's 1533-position model. The record is from RNAcentral.